Long non-coding RNA from Mastomys coucha (southern multimammate mouse), 414 nucleotides. RefSeq lists it as uncharacterized. The transcript is spliced from 3 exons. Lineage: Eukaryota; Metazoa; Chordata; Mammalia; Rodentia; Muridae. The record is from RefSeq and is a predicted model, not a curated record.
AAUAGUUUACCUGAUCUUGAUUCAACUUUGGAAUGUUAGAAACUACGCCCAUAAAGUCUCACCGAUAUAACUGCCUAAACCUGAACUGAAAAAGAACAAGAGCAGACAUGCUAAUGUCAAUGGGGGAAAGCCCAGCAGGCCUCAACCUUACACAAAGAAUACAGUUUGUAUUUGCUUUUUCUCCUACCCUGUAUCUCCCCUGAGAAACCGUCUCAGCACUGUUGUGACCUCUGGUCAACUACAAGGAUGGCCUAUGUCCUACAAGAUCAAACAUUCAGCCAAGACUUGAUUCAUUACAUAACAAUAAACAAAUUUAUCUUAAUUUGCAAUUUGCUUGUUUUUAAUAAAUUAUAUAUAUAUAUAUAUACAUAUAUAUAUAUAUCAAAGAACUGUUGAAAAUACAUUUCCCUUUGA